RNAcentral lists this unclassified non-coding RNA (342 nucleotides) under soil metagenome. RNAcentral's name for it is "partial contains 5.8S ribosomal RNA, internal transcribed spacer 2, and large subunit ribosomal RNA". The stretch from base 1 to 120 matches the Rfam family "5.8S ribosomal RNA", at positions 35 to 154 of the family's 154-position model. The record is from RNAcentral.
GAUGAAGAACGUAGCGAAAUGCGAUAAGUAGUGUGAAUUGCAGAAUUCAGUGAAUCAUCGAAUCUUUGAACACACAUUGCGGCCAUAGGUAUUCCUUUGGCCAUGCCUGUUCGAGCGUCAUUUACACCCUCAAGCCUAGCUUGGUGUUGGGCGCCUGUCCCGCCGUUUUCGCGCGCGGACUCGCCUCAAAGUCAUUGGCGGCGGUCGUGCCGGCCCCCUCGCGCAGCACAUUUGCGCUUCUCGGAGGCCCGGCGGAUCCGCGCUCCAGCAAGACCUUUCACGACUUGACCUCGGAUCAGGUAGGGAUACCCGCUGAACUUAAGCAUAUCAAUAAGCGGAGGA